CUUGAGUAGGGAGAUGCUCUGUCUUGUGCUGCCUGAGUCAGCCAGGGGCACCCAGCUCCUCUGCUGUGUGGCCCUCCGUCUCCUGGAAGCUGGAAUCAGGCAUCGAGAAGUGCAGUCCCAGAAAUAGGGAAGCCUCACACUGAGAUAUGACCUACAGAUGGAACAGCAGUGUGCACAGAAAUCACAGUAGCUUGGGCUUCAGUGGUCCACUCGUCCAUGGCCUCACCUGAAACAGAGGGAAGAAUCUUGCCCAUGAGAACAUAGAGGCCUGAGUGCAGAUGACAGGGCUCCCAUGAGUCGGUGAAUUCUGAGACAAUAUCAAACCAUUCUUCAAAUUCCAGUGACCCUGACCUUGAGACUGAAAAAUUUCUAGACAUUAAGUGGGUUUUAAAAUGAGAAGAUCACUGUAAGCUGACAUUCAAUUAUCUACAGUUUAGGCAAAAAUAAAAGCUAAGAAAAGGUAUUUGGAGGCAAAUUUUGAGCAGAGAAGUCACAAAAG
Molecule: long non-coding RNA, 499 nt
Filed under: Equus caballus (horse)
Lineage: Eukaryota; Metazoa; Chordata; Mammalia; Perissodactyla; Equidae
Description: lncRNA (ENSECAG00000057461.1)
Source: RNAcentral